CCUAAGGAUCUCCUUAGAUCCACAAAUUAUUCAAAAGAUCACUAG
This is a non-coding RNA of Picea glauca (white spruce), 45 nucleotides long. Lineage: Eukaryota; Viridiplantae; Streptophyta; Pinopsida; Pinales; Pinaceae. The record is from Rfam.